Molecule: ribosomal RNA, 253 nt
Filed under: uncultured bacterium
Lineage: Bacteria
Description: partial 16S ribosomal RNA
Rfam family: Bacterial small subunit ribosomal RNA
Source: RNAcentral
UACGGAGGGUGCGAGCGUUGUUCGGAAUCACUGGGCGUAAAGCGCGUGUAGGCGGCCCACUAAGUCUGAUGUGAAAGCCCGGGGCUCACCCCCGGAAGUGCAUUGGAAACUGGUGGACUCGAGUCCCGGAGAGGAGAGUGGAAUUCCUGGUGUAGCGGUGAAAUGCGUAGAUAUCAGGAGGAACACCGGUGGCGAAGGCGGCUCUCUGGGACGGUACUGACGCUGAGACGCGAAAGCGUGGGGAGCGAACAGG